Molecule: microRNA precursor, 109 nt
Filed under: Prunus persica (peach)
Lineage: Eukaryota; Viridiplantae; Streptophyta; Magnoliopsida; Rosales; Rosaceae
Description: miR6276 stem-loop (ppe-MIR6276)
Source: miRBase by way of RNAcentral
UUGCAAUUGAAAAGGCUCAUACAAAUAUUCCUUGUAGUAAAAGAGAUGUCCUCUAUUCUUGGCUUCCAAAUGGAAUAAUUGGAUGUAGUCAAUUUGAACAUUGUUGCUA